This 336-nucleotide long non-coding RNA is filed under the name Sorghum bicolor (sorghum). Its description in RNAcentral is "long non-coding RNA (SBIC_LNC008821)". The record is from RNAcentral. Lineage: Eukaryota; Viridiplantae; Streptophyta; Magnoliopsida; Poales; Poaceae.
AACGACGAUUCGAAUCGCUUAGCAAUCCAGCUGGAGUUCCUAACCACCCGACAUAUGUAGAACCAAAUCUUGCAUAUAUCAACCCAAAGCAAGCUCUCUCCAAAUUUGACCAGGUUCGCGGCACCCGAGAGCACAGUACUCCAUCAUCCUACAGCUGAUCUAGAUGUUUUCCGGUCAUCUCAGAUCCAUAAGGUGGGUACACACUACUCUCGCCAUCUUUCCACUCCCAGUGCGCGAGUAGCUGUUCGCGUCGAGGGAUCACAAGACCGGGCUUACCGAGGGCAAGUGGUUAGUACUAUAAAUUCUCAACCCAGCAGGCCAUAAACGGAACGGUCC